RNAcentral lists this microRNA (22 nucleotides) under Bombyx mori (domestic silkworm). RNAcentral describes it as "bmo-miR-2768-5p". The record is from miRBase by way of RNAcentral. Lineage: Eukaryota; Metazoa; Arthropoda; Insecta; Lepidoptera; Bombycidae.
CGGUGAAAUAUUUUGACCAAUU